GGGGCUAUAGCUCAGCUGGGAGAGCGCUUGCAUGGCAUGCAAGAGGUCGACGGUUCGAUCCCGUCUAGCCCGCA
RNAcentral lists this transfer RNA (74 nucleotides) under Pseudomonas aeruginosa. Its description in RNAcentral is "tRNA-Ala". It matches the Rfam family "tRNA". Rfam says of the family: Transfer RNA (tRNA) molecules are approximately 80 nucleotides in length. Lineage: Bacteria; Pseudomonadati; Pseudomonadota; Gammaproteobacteria; Pseudomonadales; Pseudomonadaceae. The record is from RNAcentral.